RNAcentral lists this ribosomal RNA (253 nucleotides) under uncultured bacterium. RNAcentral's name for it is "partial 16S ribosomal RNA". It matches the Rfam family "Bacterial small subunit ribosomal RNA", at positions 524 to 776 of the family's 1533-position model. The record is from RNAcentral.
UACGUAGGCAGCGAGCGUUGUUCGGAGUUACUGGGCGUAAAGCGUGCGUAGGCGGUGUCUUAAGUCUGUUGUGAAAUCUCCCGGCUUAACCGGGAGGGUGCGGCGAAUACUGAGAUGCUGGAGUGCCGGAGAGGUAAGCGGAAUUCCAGGUGUAGCGGUGAAAUGCGUAGAUAUCUGGAGGAACACCGGUGGCGAAGGCGGCAUCCUGGACCAAUUCUGACGCUGAGGAGCGAAAGCCAGGGGAGCAAACGGG